Molecule: ribosomal RNA, 477 nt
Filed under: uncultured bacterium
Lineage: Bacteria
Description: partial 16S ribosomal RNA
Rfam family: Bacterial small subunit ribosomal RNA
Source: RNAcentral
AUUGAACGCUGGCGGCAUGCCUUACACAUGCAAGUCGAACGGUAACAGGUUAAGCUGUCGCGUUUCCAACGGGCGAGUGAUGUAUCGGUACGUGCUACGUCGUGGUGUAUAACUGCGCGAAGGAGCAGCUAAUACCGCAUACGACCUUAGCGCGAAAGCGCUGGAUCGCAAAGCCUCGCACGUUUGGACCUUCCGAUAUCAGAUUAGGUAGUUGGUGAGGUAAAGGCUCACCAAGGCGACGAUCCGUAGCUGGUCUGAGAGGAUGACCAGCCACACUGGGACUGAGACACGGCCCAGACUCCUACGGGAGGCAGCAGUGGGGAAUUUUGGACAAUGGGCGCAAGCCUGAUCCAGCCAUGCCGCGUGCGGGAAGAAGGCCUUCGGGUUGUAAAGCCCUUUUGUCAGGGAAGAAAAGGUUCUGGCUAAUACCUGGGAGUCCUGACGGUACCUGAAGAAUAAGCACCGGCUAACUACGUG